CUGUCUCACCCCCUCCUUUCGUCCUCCUCUCUAGCUGGCCCUGAGGAGUGACCUGCGCUUCUGAGUUUGCCCGGGAGCUCAGGCUGUAUGGACACAUCAACAUGUACCGCUUCUGCCUCCUAAUACACAUUAGGGCCUACCCUAUAGAUCAGUAUCCCUGUCGUACACGCCAAGCUGCCUCCAUCAUGCUCAUCAUCAUGGAUAACCUGGACCCUGUAGUUGCCCAGUUUCUCCAGGAGCUGGUUACCUAUGUGGGGAAUGGACAGGUUUUCUGGAACUGGGCCCAGGUAAGGACAGAGCACGUGAGUAUGAUGGUAUUACAGUAUGUAGAUAUCUGUGUGCAAUAAUGUGUGUGUCAUUUGACUUGUACUGUGUGGAAACACACUCAUUGCUAUAUACAGUAUCUUUGUGUAUGUGUGUAUGUGUAGUUCCGUCUGGUGAUGCACUACCUGAGUGAGAUGACAUUGUCACCAAUGGCAUGGUAACCACACAUCCCUCCCUCCGUCUAUCCUCCCUACUCUACAGCAUUUCAAUUAGAUGCUGUUUUUCCGUUACCAUCUAGGUUUUCCCAUUUUGAUUUGGAAUAGUCCAUGGCACCAUGAUUAGUCUUAAUAGUCAACAGUAGAGGGCACUAGCCCCUUUGUAAACUCACAUUGAAAUUGUCUUAAAGGGAGACUGGGAUUUUGGCAAUGGAGCCAUCUAUCUACUUCCUCAGAGGUCGAUGAACUCGUGGAUAUAAUAUUUUUGUCUCUGCGUGUAGUUUGAAGGAAGUUGCUAACUGGCGUUAGCGCAAUUGAUAAAUAGCGU
Oncorhynchus mykiss (rainbow trout) is the source of this 807-nucleotide non-coding RNA. The record is from RefSeq and is a predicted model, not a curated record. NCBI's taxonomy places the organism in Eukaryota, Metazoa, Chordata, Actinopteri, Salmoniformes, Salmonidae.